GUGAGUAACACGUGGGUGAUCUGCCUUGCACUCUGGGAUAAGCCUGGGAAACUGGGUCUAAUACCGGAUACGACCUGCGAUUGCAUGAUCGUGGGUGGAAAGAUUUAUCGGUGCAAGAUGAGCCCGCGGCCUAUCAGCUUGUUGGUGGGGUAAUGGCCUACCAAGGCGACGACGGGUAGCCGGCCUGAGAGGGCGACCGGCCACACUGGGACUGAGACACGGCCCAGACUCCUACGGGAGGCAGCAGUGGGGAAUAUUGCACAAUGGGCGGAAGCCUGAUGCAGCGACGCCGCGUGAGGGAUGACGGCCUUCGGGUUGUAAACCUCUUUCGACUCCGACGAAGCGAAAGUGACGGUAGGAGUAUAAGAAGCACCGGCCAACUACGUGCCAGCAGCCGCGGUAAUACGUAGGGUGCGAGCGUUGUCCGGAAUUACUGGGCGUAAAGAGCUUGUAGGCGGUCUGUCGCGUCUUCUGUGAAAACUUGGGGCUCAACCUUAAGCUUGCAGGCGAUACGGGCAGACUAGAGUACUUCAGGGGAGACUGGAAUUCCUGGUGUAGCGGUGAAAUGCGCAGAUAUCAGGAGGAACACCGGUGGCGAAGGCGGGUCUCUGGGAAGUAACUGACGCUGAGAAGCGAAAGCAUGGGUAGCGAACAGGAUUAGAUACCCUGGUAGUCCAUGCCGUAAACGGUG
Molecule: ribosomal RNA, 691 nt
Filed under: Nocardia sp.
Lineage: Bacteria; Bacillati; Actinomycetota; Actinomycetes; Mycobacteriales; Nocardiaceae
Description: bacterial SSU rRNA
Rfam family: Bacterial small subunit ribosomal RNA
Source: RNAcentral